This 112-nucleotide ribosomal RNA is filed under the name uncultured Pelobacter sp. RNAcentral's name for it is "partial 16S ribosomal RNA". It matches the Rfam family "Bacterial small subunit ribosomal RNA", at positions 383 to 486 of the family's 1533-position model. Lineage: Bacteria; Pseudomonadati; Thermodesulfobacteriota; Desulfuromonadia; Desulfuromonadales; Desulfuromonadaceae. The record is from RNAcentral.
CUGACGCAGCAACGCCGCGUGAGUGAUGAAGGCUUUCGGGUCGUAAAGCUCUGUCAGAGGGGAAGAAUCGCCUGGCGGUUAAUACCCUGCAGGUUUGACGGUACCCUCAAAG